Non-coding RNA from Nicotiana tabacum (common tobacco), 1056 nucleotides. NCBI's taxonomy places the organism in Eukaryota, Viridiplantae, Streptophyta, Magnoliopsida, Solanales, Solanaceae. The record is from RefSeq and is a predicted model, not a curated record.
UUCUACUCAAAAAAGGAAAAGAGGUAAAACAAAGAUGCUAAAUGUACAUGGAAGGCGUGAGCGAAAAUUGAUAGUAGUAAAUGAAAACAACCAACCUGUUGGCCCUAGUAAAGAUGUUAUGACAGAAUUGGGAAGUUUCCUCGACACACUGGCAAGGAAUGCGACUCUUUGUCCUCUUGAUAUAUUUGAUUGGAGGAAAAUGGACAUAAAAUAUGAUCUAUGGGCGUAUACCAAGGAGAAAUAUGAUAUUCCUGACACUUCAAAAAAAUGGACUUUGGAUACAGUUCAAGCUGCUUGGAGAAGACACAAGAGUACUUUGAAAAAAAAUCACUUUGAGGCCUAUGCAGAUGAUGAAAUUCGACUGCAAAAAAGGCAUUAAUAUACUCCAGCAUCUCAAUUUAAGGAUCUCCUCAAAUAUUGGGGAUCUGAAAAUGUCCAGGUAAGUCUAUUACUUGCGGCAACUAAAGCUUAUUACUUACAAAUAAUGGCAUGCCUGCACUUAGAUAAAAAGAAUAGGACAAUGAACUGGACUGUCCGACUUCUGGUACAGCUUAACUGAACACCUCUUAACUGAACUCCUUAAAUAUUGGGGAUCUGAAAAAGUCCAGAUAAGUCUACUACUUGACUCAGUUCUUUGCAGAAAAUGUCAAAGAUCAAUAUUGAGAAUAAAAAAUAAUUGAAGAAUCCACACACGGUUGGCAAAACAAGCUUUGCUGUAAUCCGCACUAAUUUGGUGUGUGCUCUUAUUUAUCAGUAAAUAUGAUCAUGUUGUCAUUUUUAAGAAUAUUUUUGAUACCCACUCUUAAUGUAUCCAGGAAAAAGAGAAGAACACUUCUGACCCUUUAUCACUUCGAGAAUUCUUUGUGGCUACAACAAAAAGAAAACCUUGAAGGUCGUACAAGGACUAUGAUCAAGAUACAACUAGUAAAAUUGUUUUUCGGAAUCGAAUUGGAAGAAUGGACUUCAAUGUUGAAACUUUAAAUUGAGAGAGUUGACCAAGUUUGACUUUUUCUGAAUUUGAACCCGGAACAGAGUUUUGAUUAUUCCAUUAGCUCC